UCUCAAUCCCCUGGCACAUGCAGCAGCAGGUGGCAGUGGUGCCCAGAUAGCCCAGAAGACAUCAGAGAGAAGUGGAUGGGGGAGUAGAAGAUUGCAGCUCCCUGCAUUGACUCUUAGAAGAUUUCUCAGGUGUCCACAUUUCUAUGUGUGGUCCAUAGUUAUGCUUCACAGCAUCUUCACCCAACAGCCCCAGGAGAUCCAGUACUUCCAGUGUAGUCCAGGCAGGAGCGCAUCCAGUAUCUCUCGGUGUGCGUGGAGCCAGCAUGGUUGGUGGGGCGCCGGUUGCACUCAACAAAGGUGAGCCGCUUGGUGUGCUUAUGAGGUGUAAACCAGACCAGAGUGAGUGUGGGAAGUAACCACACCUGCACCAACAUGUGCACGUUACCAUGGGGAUGUACCACGCCUACAUCAAUGUCUGCGAGUGAGCAUGGGGACUGGCCAUGCCCAAAUGGACGUGUGCAGAAGCCAUUGAUGAUUUGAAGGCACAAGGAAAUGUAACAGUCCUCUGCACUGUUAUGCCCUCUUCCAAUUGAGAUUCUCAAAGCACUUUACAAACAUAAAUCAGUUGCUUAUAACUUUACCCAACUCUGAGUGUUCAGGCUAAAGUUUUCCAUCCCAGGUGUCUCACUCAAGGCUGAAUACAUUUGGAAAAUUUUCAGCCAAAAGUGUUGGGCUGUUUCUGAG
Molecule: long non-coding RNA, 684 nt
Organism: Mauremys reevesii (Reeves's turtle)
Lineage: Eukaryota; Metazoa; Chordata; Testudines; Geoemydidae
Exons: 4
Source: RefSeq, a predicted model, not a curated record